GACGAACGCUGGCGGCGUGCUUAACACAUGCAAGUCGAACGAUGAAGCCGGAGCUUGCUCUGGUGAAUUAGUGGCGAACGGGUGAGUAACACGUGAGUAACCUGCCCUUGACUCUGGGAUAACUGCGGGAAACUGUAGCUAAUACCGGAUACGACCCUCGGAGGCAUCUCCUGGGGGUGGAAAGAAUUUCGGUCAAGGAUGGACUCGCGGCCUAUCAGCUAGUUGGUGAGGUAAAGGCUCACCAAGGCGACGACGGGUAGCCGGCCUGAGAGGGUGCCCGGCCACCCGGGGACUGAGACACGGCCCAGACUCCUACGGGAGGCAGCAGUGGGGAAUAUUGCACAAUGGGCGCAAGCCUGAUGCAGCAACGCCGCGUGAGGGAUGACGGCCUUCGGGUUGUAAACCUCUUUUAGCAGGGAAGAAGCGAAAGUGACGGUACCUGCAGAAAAAGCACCGGCUAACUACGUGCCAGCCGCCGCAGUAA
This 484-nucleotide ribosomal RNA is filed under the name uncultured bacterium. RNAcentral describes it as "partial 16S ribosomal RNA". It matches the Rfam family "Bacterial small subunit ribosomal RNA", at positions 28 to 523 of the family's 1533-position model. The record is from RNAcentral.